Triticum aestivum (bread wheat) is the source of this 1515-nucleotide long non-coding RNA. RefSeq lists it as uncharacterized. Lineage: Eukaryota; Viridiplantae; Streptophyta; Magnoliopsida; Poales; Poaceae. The record is from RefSeq and is a predicted model, not a curated record. The transcript has 5 exons.
GCGAAAGAGGCCAUUUUGGCCCAGAUCCACCGCGGAGCGCCUUCAGCCCCCACUUCUCCCGAGCGCCGCCCCUGUUUCUCCCCGCGCGCUGCCGCCCUGUUUCUCCCCCCACCUCCGGCGCCGCCCCCCUUUUCUCCCCCCGCCGCCCCUCUCCUCGCGCCGCCAUCUCCUCGCGCCGCCGCCCAUCCUCCACCCACCGGCUGCCUCGCCGUCACCCCCCGGCGCUGCCGCCCCUCCCUGUCCUCUAGGAGCACAGAUCCUCCCCGCCCCCUUCCCGAGCAUGAGGAGCCCCCAGCUAGCCCUCCCAUCGGCGCCGCCGCCCCUCCCUGUCCGCUAGGGUUGAGGUCGCACGGCCAUCUCUCCGCCGGCAGGGCCGGCUCCUCCGGCGGCAAGGUGCUCCGGCGUGAAGGUGCUCAGAGGUGCCCCUGCUGAUCUCCUCAUGCAACAACAAGAAGCAACCAGAUGUGCAGUGUAUAUGCAUCAACAAGGAGGCACCUGAACAAUAUUUAUUCAAAGCCAGACGCGAAAUAAAAAAAUGAUGCUCAAGUUAACCUCUUGCUAGGAUUUAAUAAUAUUGUUUUUUCUUGCUAAACUUUAUUUUCGUUCUUUUGUUAGGUUGAUGUACUAAAUAAUUAAAACAUAUGUGAGUUGAUUGUUGUACAGUUUUUGCAUCUGUUGUAUGGAGCUGGGACUUACUUAGUAAGAUUUGUUAUGUAAUUAUAAGGUCUGAUUCUGUAACACCAAUAAACUUCCUAGAAAUUUGCGUCUGCUCACUGAAUCUAUGAUACUAAAUUGUAUGCUGUUGUAUUUCAUAUAUAUGUUAUACAUACAUGUGCAGACUUUACUAGACACAUAUCAUGAGUAGAUAAGUUCAGUCUCCAUUUGUUUCUUUAAGAAGAUGUGCAGUAUGCUGUUGUAUCUCAGUUCUCAUAUACUGUAAUAUAUAUUAACAGAAAGAAUCAUGUUGUAUGCUUCAGAUUUAUACUGAAAGUGUGUCCCUAUUUUGAUGCAAUUCUUCUUUUUUACAUACUAGGAAACGUUCUGUAGCAAAAAACACGCUCACUGAGCAUGUCGUUAUGGAUUACGUAAUGAAGCGUAGAAAAUGAAGAGGAUAAUCAAGUCGAGAGCCACCGGCGAUGAUGUGUAGUUGCUGGAUGAGCUUCUCAUCCACGCCUUGGCUGCAAACCGUGUCUGCAGGUGCAGUGUUCUCAGUCAGGACAAGCAAGCCCAGUGACUCCCACUACGGCUCAUGGCGCUUCGACCUCCUUGCAACAAUGAUCACUCGAGGUUUGCAUCGUGGAUGCCGUUGACGGUGGGCAUACAUGCUACGGUGGAGCACAUUGCAUGUUUGAGGUUCAUGCUUGGUGUGAACUUGGAACUCAUGCUUUUGUUUGUGAACCUUGUUGGAUAUGUACCUGUGUGGACUUUGGACUCAUGGUCAAUUUGUAUGGUUGUCAAGUUGUACUAAAUUGUUGUUGUGAACCUUCGUUGGUUAUAUAUUACUUGUUGGAUCUA